GGCCCUAUCGUCUAGUGGUUAGGACGCCAGGUUUUCAUCCUGAUAACCGGGGUUCGAUUCCCCGUAGGGCUA
This 72-nucleotide transfer RNA is filed under the name Patescibacteria group bacterium. Its description in RNAcentral is "tRNA-Glu". It matches the Rfam family "tRNA". Rfam says of the family: Transfer RNA (tRNA) molecules are approximately 80 nucleotides in length. Their secondary structure includes four short double-helical elements and three loops (D, anti-codon, and T loops). The record is from RNAcentral.